GACGAACGCUGGCGGCGUGCUUAACACAUGCAAGUCGAGCGGUAAGGCUCCUUCGGGAGUACACGAGCGGCGAACGGGUGAGUAACACGUGAGUAAUCUCCCCUUCACUUCGGGAUAACCACCGGAAACGGUGGCUAAUACCGAAUACGACCAGUCUUCGCAUGAGGUGCUGGUGGAAAGUCUUUUCGGUGAAGGAUGUGCUCGCGGCCUAUCAGCUUGUUGGUGGGGUAAUGGCCUACCAAGGCUUCGACGGGUAGCCGGCCUGAGAGGGUGACCGGCCACACUGGGACUGAGACACGGCCCAGACUCCUACGGGAGGCAGCAGUGGGGAAUAUUGGACAAUGGGCGAAAGCCUGAUCCAGCAACGCCGCGUGAGGGAUGACGGCCUUCGGGUUGUAAACCUCUUUCAGUACCGACGAAGCGCCCUGUCGGGUGGUGACGGUAGGUACAGAAGAAGGACCGGCCAACUACGUG
Molecule: ribosomal RNA, 474 nt
Filed under: uncultured bacterium
Lineage: Bacteria
Description: partial 16S ribosomal RNA
Rfam family: Bacterial small subunit ribosomal RNA
Source: RNAcentral